RNAcentral lists this transfer RNA (73 nucleotides) under Candidatus Jorgensenbacteria bacterium GWC1_48_12. RNAcentral describes it as "tRNA-Ala". It matches the Rfam family "tRNA". Rfam says of the family: Transfer RNA (tRNA) molecules are approximately 80 nucleotides in length. Their secondary structure includes four short double-helical elements and three loops (D, anti-codon, and T loops). Further hydrogen bonds mediate the characteristic L-shaped molecular structure. tRNAs have two regions of fundamental functional importance: the anti-codon, which is responsible for specific mRNA codon recognition, and the 3' end, to which the tRNAs corresponding amino acid is attached (by aminoacyl-tRNA synthetases). tRNAs cope with the degeneracy of the genetic code in two manners: having more than one tRNA (with a specific anti-codon) for a particular amino acid; and 'wobble' base-pairing, i.e. permitting non-standard base-pairing at the 3rd anti-codon position. The record is from RNAcentral. Lineage: Bacteria; Candidatus Joergenseniibacteriota.
GGGCCGGUAGCUCAAUUGGCAGAGCGCUACUAUGGCAUAGUAGAGGUAGUGGGUUCGAAACCCAUCCGGUCCA